Molecule: ribosomal RNA, 490 nt
Filed under: uncultured bacterium
Lineage: Bacteria
Description: partial 16S ribosomal RNA
Rfam family: Bacterial small subunit ribosomal RNA
Source: RNAcentral
AUUGAACGCUGGCGGCAUGCUUUACACAUGCAAGUCGGACGGCGGCACAGAGAAGCUUGCUUCUUGGGUGGCGAGUGGCGAACGGGUGAGUAACAUAUCGGAACGUACCGAGCAGUGGGGGAUAACUAAUCGAAAGAUUAGCUAAUACCGCAUAUUUUCUGAGGAAGAAAGCAGGGGACCUUUGGGCCUUGCGCUGUUUGAGCGGCCGAUAUCUGAUUAGCUAGUUGGUGGGGUAAAGGCCUACCAAGGCGACGAUCAGUAGCGGGUCUGAGAGGAUGACCCGCCACACUGGGACUGAGACACGGCCCAGACUCCUACGGGAGGCAGCAGUGGGGAAUUUUGGACAAUGGGCGCAAGCCUGAUCCAGCCAUGCCGCGUGUCUGAAGAAGGCCUUCGGGUUGUAAAGGACUUUUGUCAGGGAAGAAAAGGGCGGGGUUAAUACCCCUGUCUGAUGACGGUACCUGAAGAAUAAGCACCGGCUAACUACGUG